UACAGAGGGUGCAAGCGUUAAUCGGAAUUACUGGGCGUAAAGCGCGCGUAGGUGGUUUGUUAAGUUGGAUGUGAAAGCCCCGGGCUCAACCUGGGAACUGCAUCCAAAACUGGCAAGCUAGAGUACGGUAGAGGGUGGUGGAAUUUCCUGUGUAGCGGUGAAAUGCGUAGAGAUCGGGAGGAACACCCGUGGCGAAGGCGGCCACCUGGACUGAUACUGACACUGAGGUGCGAAAGCGUGGGGAGCAAACAGG
Molecule: ribosomal RNA, 253 nt
Filed under: uncultured bacterium
Lineage: Bacteria
Description: partial 16S ribosomal RNA
Rfam family: Bacterial small subunit ribosomal RNA
Source: RNAcentral